CGGGGACAUCUGGAUACGUCGUAGCGAUAAGAAGUGGUUUCCGUUGGCUUGUGUUUGCAGUCAAAGUUGUUGUUUGUAGUUUGUUGUUUAAACCUAAAAAUCAGGCUGUUGCUUUUGCUCCUUUGAAUUGUUUCACUUUAUGUCAUGCAUGUGUCUAAAUAGCAAAGUAAACUUUUUGAGUUUUGCUCAGUUUUGAAGACGUGUGAACGUUUUUAGUUU
RNAcentral lists this long non-coding RNA (219 nucleotides) under Mytilus galloprovincialis (Mediterranean mussel). Lineage: Eukaryota; Metazoa; Mollusca; Bivalvia; Mytilida; Mytilidae. The record is from RNAcentral.